Molecule: long non-coding RNA, 673 nt
Filed under: Homo sapiens (human)
Lineage: Eukaryota; Metazoa; Chordata; Mammalia; Primates; Hominidae
Description: HSALNT0173152
Source: RNAcentral
UAGGCAAUGUGAGCAAAGCCUGGUGGAGAUGCUUUCCAGGAGAUGAAGACUGGAUGUAAAUAUAUACAAAUAUAUAGCUACAGCACAUGCAAUGAUACAAAAAUGUUAGGCCUGGAGAACCGACUCAUUAAUUUUAAAAGGCAACAUUAAGUAUCUAUCCACACCAUUAUAGAAGAUGAUCUCUUAUAUGAUGAUACUUGAAGCAACCCACUCUCAAGAACACCUCUCUGCAUCUCUACCCUGGCCUCUGAAUGCACCAAAAAUGUCACCAUUGAAGUUUGUUUCAGUUAUUCAUCUAUCAAGCAUUCAUUGAGUAUUUCAUGAACCACAUAUAAAGAAAUAAGGUAAAAUACUUGACAUCAAAGACCUCAUUGUCUAAUGGAAAACGGAUAUAAAUGAUGCAAUACACUAAAUUAUAUUAAAUUGUAUAUAUCACUAUUUAAACUAAAGCAUAUUAAGUGAAAUAAGCCUGGCACAGAAAGACAAAUACAGCAUAAUCUCACUCAUAUGUGGAAUUUUAAAAAAUUGAUGUCAUAAAGUAGAUAGUAGAAUAGUGUUUACCAGAGGCCCGGAAGCAUAGGUAGGAGGAAGAGAGAGAAAAGGUUGAUCAACAGGUUCAAAGCCACAGUUAAAUAGGAGGAAUAAGUCCUAUUGUUUCAUUGCAUAGUACGGC